Molecule: ribosomal RNA, 253 nt
Filed under: uncultured bacterium
Lineage: Bacteria
Description: partial 16S ribosomal RNA
Rfam family: Bacterial small subunit ribosomal RNA
Source: RNAcentral
UACGUAGGGGGCAAGCGUUGUCCGGAUUUAUUGGGCGUAAAGAGCGUGUAGGCGGCCAGGUAGGUCAGCUGUGAAAACUCGAGGCUCAACCUCGAGACGCCGGUUGAAACCAUCUGGCUAGAGUCCGGAAGAGGAGAGUGGAAUUCCUGGUGUAGCGGUGAAAUGCGCAGAUAUCAGGAAGAACACCCGUGGCUAAGGCGGCUCUCUAGUACGGUACUGACGCUGAGGCGCGAAGGCGUGGGGAGCGAACGGG